AUUACCUUAGAACUGAAAACAGUUUCCGGAGCAUAACUUAAGUUCUAUUUGGCCCACAGUGUUCAAACUUCAUAGGAUGAUUGUCCAUAUUGGGUAGAAGACCCCUAUUGAUUUUGGGAUCACAAGGUCAAAGGUCAAGGUCACUUUUACCUUAGAAUUGAAAACAGUUUCUGGGACAUAACUUAAAGUUCCAUUUGGACCACAAUAUUGAAACUUCAAAGGAGGAUUGUUAUUUGAAGGAGGUAAUACUUUAUUUUAGUCCCAUGUCUUACAAAUGCU
This is a long non-coding RNA of Ruditapes philippinarum (Manila clam), 279 nucleotides long. RefSeq lists it as uncharacterized. The record is from RefSeq and is a predicted model, not a curated record. Lineage: Eukaryota; Metazoa; Mollusca; Bivalvia; Venerida; Veneridae. The transcript is spliced from 2 exons.